Molecule: non-coding RNA, 64 nt
Organism: Mus musculus (house mouse)
Lineage: Eukaryota; Metazoa; Chordata; Mammalia; Rodentia; Muridae
Source: Rfam
GAGUGAGCAUAGCUCUUUUAGAAUUUUUCUAGCAAGAUGUUUGACUUUGGUCUGGAAAAUCCAA